AGUCUACGGGAGGCAGCAGUGAGGAAUAUUGGUCAAUGGGCGAGAGCCUGAACCAGCCAAGUAGCGUGCAGGAUGACGGCCCUCCGGGUUGUAAACUGCUUUUAGUUGGGAAUAAAAAAGGGACUUGUCCCUUCUUGUAUGUACCUUCAGAAAAAGGACCGGCUAAUUCCGUGCCAGCAGCCGCGGUAAUGACU
RNAcentral lists this ribosomal RNA (194 nucleotides) under uncultured bacterium. RNAcentral's name for it is "partial 16S ribosomal RNA". It matches the Rfam family "Bacterial small subunit ribosomal RNA", at positions 335 to 527 of the family's 1533-position model. The record is from RNAcentral.